Molecule: transfer RNA, 63 nt
Filed under: Osedax rubiplumus
Lineage: Eukaryota; Metazoa; Annelida; Polychaeta; Sabellida; Siboglinidae
Description: tRNA-Pro
Source: RNAcentral
CAAAUAAUAAUUUAUAUAAAAUAUUAUCUUUGGGAGAUAACAAUCCUUUAACAGGUUAUUUGA